This 120-nucleotide non-coding RNA is filed under the name Durinskia baltica. The record is from RNAcentral. Lineage: Eukaryota; Dinophyceae; Peridiniales; Kryptoperidiniaceae.
CAGCGCGGCGGCAUCGCCCCAGCAACGAAACGUCCCGCAAUUCACCAUGGAAGCCGAGUCGAUGUCCGCGGCGAACUCAGUGUUAAGCGACAGCAAUCGCCGGAACGCUGGUUCCGCAUG